GAUGAACGCUGGCGGCGUGCCUAAUACAUGCAAGUCGAGCGAACAGAUGAGGAGCUUGCUCCUCUGACGUUAGCGGCGGACGGGUGAGUAACACGUGGAUAACCUACCUAUAAGACUGGGAUAACUUCGGGAAACCGGAGCUAAUACCGGAUAAUAUAUUGAACCGCAUGGUUCAAUAGUGAAAGACGGUUUUGCUGUCACUUAUAGAUGGAUCCGCGCCGCAUUAGCUAGUUGGUAAGGUAACGGCUUACCAAGGCAACGAUGCGUAGCCGACCUGAGAGGAUGAUCAGCCACACUGGAACUGAGACACGGUCCAGACUCCUACGGGAGGCAGCAGUAGGGAAUAUUCCGCAAUGGGCGAAAGCCUGACGGAGCCACGCCGCGUGAGUGAUGAAGGUCUUCGGAUCGUAAAACUCUGUUAUUAGGGAAGAAAAAAUGUGGAAGUAACUAUGCACGUCUUGACGGUACCUAAUCAGAAAGCCCCGGCUAACUACGUG
RNAcentral lists this ribosomal RNA (497 nucleotides) under uncultured bacterium. Its description in RNAcentral is "partial 16S ribosomal RNA". It matches the Rfam family "Bacterial small subunit ribosomal RNA", at positions 28 to 507 of the family's 1533-position model. The record is from RNAcentral.